Culex pipiens pallens (northern house mosquito) is the source of this 1029-nucleotide long non-coding RNA. RefSeq lists it as uncharacterized. Lineage: Eukaryota; Metazoa; Arthropoda; Insecta; Diptera; Culicidae. The transcript is spliced from 3 exons. The record is from RefSeq and is a predicted model, not a curated record.
CAUCGGUUUUCCUUCAAUUUGAAGUCAAGAUUUUCGUCGACGCAGUUUGACAGUUCUCUCCAGUUGGACUUGUUUGGACUUGAUCAAAUCAGAGAAACUUUGAAUCGAUUCAAACCAGUUUUACGUUGCAGUAAGGUUUCGUGUGGAUUUUGGCCGGUUGAUUGAUUUCCUGAUUUCGGCCUUCGUGAUGGUGGAGGAGGAGGAGAACGGGUCCCAUCGUUGCUCCAGCGGGCCUUGCCGGAAGACGGGAGGGAAAGGAACCGGUCUGCGAUCGAGGAAGCGGAUUGGCGUUUAACUUUCCGCUGGAGGUGGCGGUGCGUGCCAUACCCAAGGAGGAGGAGGAUCAAACGGCAUGUAAUGGAUGAGGCGGCGUUUCUGAUCCGCCGGAGGUUUUUAUACGGUAACCAAAAACAUUCCAAUCAGAUCCUGCUGACAACCCAGCGUCUCCGUUUUGUCCCACGGAACGGAAGCUGUAACGAUCGCAAAAACACCUGCACCGGACACUUCCGGUAAACUGAUGUUGUCCCGUACUCCGGUGGCCAUCAAUCCGUGGGAAAGAAACGGAAGCAAACUCGAAAAGAUGGCUGACAAAGUCCGGCCAAGAUGCCGAAGUGACGAGAUGAGCUGAAAGGCCAACUGGAAGACAACGCCAAAAAACCACUUAAAGAUCGCGAUACACAACAUCUAAAAUUAAUGAAUGUAUAUGAAAUUUAGUGAAAAAGUUUAAUUUACAGAAAAUAUACAAUACAUCUAAAAAUAAUUUAAAAAUAAAAAAAAUGUCUAUUUUUACUGCAACCUAACCUAAUAAAAACGAAAAAACAGCACACGACAAAGGCACGACAACCUAAAUAACAAAACCGUGCGACGUCGGUCGAAUGUCGUACGACAAUGUCGAACAAUUUCGAUGAUCGAUCGCACGACAAAUACGACAUUUUGGUGCAAAAACGUAUGACAUUCGCGCGAAAGUCGCACGACAUUGUCGUGCGACGUCGUACAAUUGCACGGACGACAAACGACGGACGUCCGACG